This 420-nucleotide ribosomal RNA is filed under the name uncultured bacterium. RNAcentral's name for it is "partial 16S ribosomal RNA". It matches the Rfam family "Bacterial small subunit ribosomal RNA", at positions 357 to 774 of the family's 1533-position model. The record is from RNAcentral.
AGGAAUAUUGGACAAUGGUCGCAAGACUGAUCCAGCCAUGCCGCGUGCAGGAAGACGGCCCUAUGGGUUGUAAACCGCUUUUGUACCAGAGAAAACCUAUCUACGUGUAGAUAGCUGAUAGCAUGGUAAGAAUAAGCAUCGGCUAACUUCGUGCCAGCAGCCGCGGUAAGACGAAGGAUGCAAGCGUUAUCCGGAUUCAUUGGGUUUAAAGGGUGCGUAGGCGGGCUUGUAAGUCAGUGGUGAAAUCUCUCAGCUUAACUGAGAAACUGCCAUUGNUACUGCAGGCCUAGAGUNGAGAUGANNUUGGCGGAAUUNNNNAUGUAGUGGNNAAAUACNNNGAUAUGUCAUAGAACACCGAUUNNGAAGGCAGCUAACGAAACUAUAACUGACGCUGAGGCACGAAAGUGCGGGGAUCAAACA